AGCAGGAGAGCGCCCUGCGGGAACUGCGUGAGCGCGUGACCCAUGGCUUGGCUGAAGCCGGCAGGGACCGCGAGGACGUCAGCACUGAGCUGUACCGGGCGCUGGAGGCCGUGAGGCUGCAGAACAGUGAGGGUGAGGGGGGGUAGGAGGGGGUGCGGUGUAAGUAGACCCUGCCCGUGUGCGUCGCCGGACCCCCUCUUUGACCUUGGCCUGGUCCUGUGGCUCCACCCCUGAGCCCGUGGGGCCAAACCCCUACCCCCUGCAUCCUCUUGGUGCGCUCUCCCUGGAAGCACUCGACCUCUCUGACCCUCGCCACCCUGCAGGUUCCUGUGAGCCGUGCCCUACGUCGUGGCUGCCCUUCGGGGGCUCCUGCUACUAUUUCUCUGUGCCGAAGACCACGUGGGCAGAGGCGCAGGGCCACUGCGCCGAUGCCAGCGCACAUCUGGUGAUGUAGGGGGCCUGGGGGAGCAGGACUUCCUGAGUCGUGACACUAGUGCCCUUGAAUACUGGAUCGGCCGCAGGGCCGUGCAACACCUGCGCAAGGUUCAGGGCUACUCGUGGGUGGACGGAGUCCCACUCAGCUUCAGGUAGGGGAAGGGCUUCUGGUGAAACCUGGGGGCCACAGGUUAGACUCUAGAGGACAUGUUUUGAGGCCGAGGUGGGCGGAUCACCUGAGGUCAGGAGUUCAAGACCAGCAUGGGAAACGUGGCGAAACCCCGUCUCUACUAAAAAUACAAAAAAUUAGCCGUGCGUGGUGGCACACGCCUGUAAUCCCAGCUAACCCGGGAUGCUGAGGCACGAGAAUCGCUUGAACCCAGGAGGCAGAG
Molecule: long non-coding RNA, 827 nt
Filed under: Pan troglodytes (chimpanzee)
Lineage: Eukaryota; Metazoa; Chordata; Mammalia; Primates; Hominidae
Description: long non-coding RNA NONPTRT007940
Source: RNAcentral